Molecule: long non-coding RNA, 12471 nt
Organism: Mesocricetus auratus (golden hamster)
Lineage: Eukaryota; Metazoa; Chordata; Mammalia; Rodentia; Cricetidae
Exons: 4
Source: RefSeq, a predicted model, not a curated record
GUGACAUCAUCACUGACAGCACUUUCCAUCACCUACUGAGGUCCAUCAACUCACACCAAAGCAAUUCAAUUGGUGGAACCCAUAUUGUAGCUUCUGCUUUGCUCCUGGGAAUACAUGACUAUAUCGAGAACCACUGAGGUCAUGAGCUAGCAAAGAAGAGGUAAUAAGAAAAACAAUUCUCUAGCAUUUCAUUCAUGACAUCAGGUUAUAGAGCCAGACUGGCUCAUAUUUCCAGGGAAGGAGACCAUGGCAUUUCACUACUAGAGACAGUUUUUCUAAAAUACGGAUAACUAGAAAUGUCUGAAGACAUUUCUGGAGGACUGCUACUGGCAUCUGACAGGUAAGAAGUGAAUACUGCUGCUAAAUAUCUAGAUAUAACAAAGACAGCACCCCACCCAGAGAGGGUUGCCCCUGCUGAGAGGCCAUUGGAACUGAGAUCAACAAAACCUGAAAGUAACCAAAGAAACAAUAUACGAAAAUAAUUAUUCCCAUCCAAUUGUAUUUUCAGUCCCAAUGAUCUUAAGCUAAUAUGAUACUUUUUUAAUAUUGCUACAUGAUUAUUUUUAAAGAUUCUUUUUUCCCUAGAAGUGGAUUUAAGAAGGAGAGAAAGAGUGGCUUUCAAAAUAAGAAAGGUUGAGAAUAUGUCAAUAAAGUUAGCUUUACCAAGGGACCUGAAGUACACUGUGAGCAAUGUCAUUAUCACAUUCCCUCACAGAUAUAGAUGUUGGAAACGUAACAAACUAUGUUGAUACAUGAGCUAUAGAACCUUUGUUACACCAGGUUCACAAACUAUGUUGAUACAUGAGCUAUAGAACCUUAGUUACACCAGGUUCUGUUUUGGUUCUUGUUGCUGUUGCCUAUAGUUGCAUGUUUUUUACUCAAAGCAACAUUCAGGUGUUGUUAUCCCAGGAGCAAAAGAAGCAGCUUCGUGACAAAAUGAUAGAAUAUUCUGAAGACUCCUUACCUAUAAUGAACCAAAUUAAUGUAAUGACCAAGAGUGGAAAUGGAAGAGGGUUAUCAUGGAACCUGAAAGGACACCCAAUUCUUAUCUAGGACCUGAUAUGUGACACACCUGACAUUAUUUCACCUAAUUUGCUGGGCUGUCCUCUGAGGUAGAAUUGCCCCCAUUUUACUGAAGAAAUCACAGAGGCUGUAGCAUGCUUACCCUGAUGAAGGUGAAAAUUAGUACAGUGUCCGAAGCUUCUUGCAGAGAGUAAUAUUGUCCACAUUCAUUUAGACACCCCUUUAAUUCAACACAUUUAUUUUUAACAUGCACACAAAACACGAGACACAAUUGUAGGCCCAGGAAAACAGUUUUAAAUGGAACUGAAUAUCUUCCUAAAUGGAACUUAAUUGCACUUAAAAACAAAACAGAAAAAGUUGCUUAGAUUUUCAUUCAUUUCCUUCUCCCUGGGAACUGAGCCAUUACCCAGCCAUUCACCCAAAGUGCACCAGCUGGUCCAUGGUGCAAAGGGGUAGUGGGAAAUGAUGAUAGAAUUCUUCACAAAUAAUUUUUGCUACGUUGUGUUGUUUUGAAAAUGCUAUAAUGUUAAGGAGCAAGGUAAAUUCUUUUACAAUUCUUUUCUAUAAAAAUCAGAUUAUGUUAACAAUAUGCCUACUUCUAUACACAAAGCUUAGAGGAUGUUCUUAGCAGAAAGAAUAAGAAGGAGCCCAUUGGCUCAGUAAGUCUGAAUAAUUAUGGGAAACCAUCAGAGGAGAGCACGAGAAAACACAGGAAAGUUUUGAUCUUUAGCAAAAAUGAAAUCAUGAAUCCUUUUGCACGACCAGUUCAUCAAAAAGCAAUGAGCGGUCUGCAAGACAGUGAGCAUGCUUACAAGCUUUCAGUUUUCUGCUUUGUUUGAGGCAAGCUGUAGAAAACGAAGUGGGUGCUCUACAUUUGAUUAUUUGAAUUCGACUGCUACUUAGGAUGGAAUCUGAAUUCACUUGUCCAACUACUCCCAAAGGAGAGAAAAAAGUAAGGACAGUGGAAAUUUAUAAGACUGUUUUUGAAGAAGUGUGAAAGAAGAACUCUCAGAAAAUGUAAAUUCCCAACACAGAGUUAUAGCAAGGAGUAAGUCAUGCUUGAAUGUGCUGGAAAAAACUCCCCAUGGGGAGGGGAAGGAGUAAACUAUGGAAAGUACUGGAAGUGGGGGCCUGCUUGGAGUGUUCAAAGAAAACCAGACUGAUUUUGGUACAUUUCCUAAGACCAGAAGUACCUUACAGCAGGUGUGAAAUGAAAACUAAGGAAGAUCACAUGGAGCCAGAGCCACAGUAAGGACUGAUAAAGACAGGAAUAACCUGAUACAUGUUAGUAAGUGACAACUCUGAUAGCAUGGAAUUAGGGGAACUGGAGAGCUUACUGUGCCAGUGUUCAGAUGGGAAGGGAUUCCUGAGUUCUAAACUUCCUUCACAGAAGCAGAGCUUAGGACAGGAAUAGACGCCAAGCAGGAUGCAAAAGCAAGGGAGGAAUAAAGAAAGACUCUGAGAUGUUUGGGUUGAACAAUUGGCAGAAGGAACUGCGUUUACUGAGAAGAGAAAGACUUCUGGAGCAACAGAUUUUGUGAGGAAAUUCAAAAGUUCAGUUUUUGAUGUGUUAGUUUUGAGAUGUCUAAUUAGCAUGUAAGUGCAGAUGUCCAGUUGAAAAUGGAACAGAAAAAUCUGGACUUUAGGACUAAGAUAUGACUACAAGUACAAAACUGAAACAUCCUAAAGCAAAGACUCUCAACAUGUGAAUCAUGACACCUUUGAAGUCACAGAUCAGAUAUUUACACUAUGAUUCAUAACAGUAGCAAAAUUACAUUCCUGAAGUAGCAAUGAAAUAAUUCUAUGGUUGGGGGUCAUCACAACAUGAGGAACUGCAUUAAAGGGCUGCAGCAAUAGGAAGGUCAAGAACUACUGUCCUAAGGAAUAGGUGUCUUUUAACGCCUUAAAAUUGGAUAAAAAAUAACAUAGAAGGUUGAGGUUAGGCUUGAGCUCCAUGUCUCCCUAACCCUUUACAUUUAGAAAGCUAAGGUUAAUACAGCAGAGGAAUAAAAAGUAGGGUAGUGUGAAAAGAGAUAAGAAGUCAAAGAAAGUACCUCCACAAAGAAGAAAUGAUGAAUAGUACCAAUGAUGUCCCAUAUACAGACUACUAAGGCUGCAACAGAUAACAUUGUAUUGCAUAUACAGAGUUGUUUCACUUCAAUUCAUUGAGUGGUCUAUAGAGCAGAUAGAAGUGCAAAACUAUCAUCAACUAUAUCAAGAUUGUCUAUCAGAAAUCAGAGAUGAGACUAGAGUUGAAAGAGGAAGAGUUAUGGGAAUUUAUUCUAUAUCGAUUUUUAAUGUGAAAUACUACAGAUAAGGAUUGUUUUUCUCUAACAUACAUCCAGAAUUUCCCCAAUUGAUAUAACCAAACUUUCUCACAUAAAUUGGUUUGGGAACAUGGGUGAACACAUGGGGGGUUAGCUGGUCAUAAUGCUUCUGUUGGCUGUCUUUCUACACUGAGGAUGAAUUCAUUUUAUCCACUCAUGCAAACAUUCAUCCAGGUCUUAUUGGAAGCUUCUGAUCAAACAGGAUAGUAUUCACACUGAAAAUAGAGCUAAAAGAAUACAAAUAUGAUUACUGUCCUUACUGAGUCUACAAUCUGCCAAUGGGAUAAAGACAGGAAAUAAGACAAGGUUCCAAUAGUCAUGAAAGAGAAGCAUGGGGACUUAGACGUCACUGGUCCUUAUCAGGAAGCAAGAAUUCACCCUACAUUCAAUUGAGGCCUCUUUGGAAGGUCAGAGAGGUGAAUCUGAAGUAACAGCAAUGAGAUAAGUGUAUAGUCCUUCCCUACAUCCAAGGAAAAGACCAAUUGAAGGGACCAAACUCAUAACGGUUUAAGCAUCAUGGAGACAAAAGACAUUCAAUUCAAAACAAAUAAAUUGAAGAAGGUCUAGAAAUAGAGAUGGAGCCAGGAGGUAAGGAAUGGAGCCUUAAAGAGCAAUGCUAUGUAUUUAGCAGAGGCAGAUAGUUUUCUGCUUUUAUAUGGACCUCUGUAAAUCUCUAUUUUUAUAUAGGCCUCUGGUAAACUUGUCUAGCUCAAUGCUUCUAUCCCUAUUGACAAUUCUCUCUGAAAUACUCAUUACCCAAUUUUCACAUAACUGAUUCAUUACAGUCCUUCAAGUUUUCCUUUCCAUGCCAUGAAAAUCUGUUCUAUGUCAAGUACUCACUACACCUUGCACAGCUUUCCUUUUCUAAAAUUGCAUUGUCCUUAUUACAGUGUGUUAUCAGCUACUCUUACUAUGAGGGAUAAUAACUUACUAAAUUCACCUUCUUGUUGCUUCAUAGAGCACAUCAUAAUGCUCAACAGAUGUUUCUUGAGUUUAUUAAACAAUAUUAAGUAAAGGCUUAAAAUAUAGGUUGAGACAAACUUAUUCUCUUUAUGUCUUUUGUUUGUUUUGGAGGGGUUGUGAUUUUGUUUGUCAUUAUUGUCACUUGAGUGCUGGCAUAACUAGUGUAUAUCACCAUGUCUGGAUUAUGAAGUCCUGGGAAUUGAAUCCAGGGGUUCAUGCAGCAAAACAAAAAUACGCUACCACCUGAGUACAUUACCAAUGAUAGAUGAAUUUUAACUUGAUGAAUAGGUAAAUAAGGUUAUAUUCUUAUCUUUCAUGAAAUUUUUACCAAAUGUGAUAGAUCAUAAAUGACAGAUAGAUAAUGAAUAGCUAGAGAGAUGAUAGAUGGAUGUUUGUCUUUAUCAUUUAGCAAAUACUUGUAAAAUUUAUCAAGAUACAUCUCAAAAGAUUAGGAAGAUUUCUAGUAUCUAUUUAUGCUGUGAAAUAUCUAGGUCAAGCAAGUUUACUAAGGUCUAAGAUCAUCUCUGAGAUCCAGUGGUAACACCGACAUCUAGUGGUUAUUAUUCUAAGUUAGCUGUCUCAAUCUUUCAGAGGAUAAAGUUAUUUUUAAAUUAUUAAAGUGCUAUAUAGCUAUGAGUUCACACAUUGCAGAUAUUGUUAGUUAAAUUAGAAAUUAUCCAAUUGAAACAGGGUAUUAGUGAAAUAAAUAAACUGUAAAGAAAUGCAAAGCAUGAAUCAAGGAUGUGAAGCAGCCCCGGUUGGCAGAGCAUGGAAUUCUCUUGAGCCCAUUGUGUUUUCUUUGAAUGAUAGGCCCAUGAGGACUUCAAAAGUGAGCUUCUAAGGUCAAAGACGCAUGCUCCAUUUCCAUUCCCCCUACCCAUUCUCUCAGUUCCAUAUAUUUAAUUCAACCACAAUUUGCAGGAGCUCGCAGAACAUUACUCAAUUAGUUUAUUUUCUAUAGCUCCCUCUAAAGCAUAAGUUCCACAGUGGCAAAAAUGUUUACGCAAUGUUUGUGUUUCUCUUUACAGUAUUUCUAUAAUUAAAAAAGAAUGCCUGGCCUAUAUUGGAAACAUCAUGAAAUAUUUGUGAUUGAAUAAAAUGAAUCUGAAAAUGAUGAAUUAGACGGAAUUAAACAAAAAUACCUACCCUAUCUGUGGAUAGAAGGACAAACAUUUAGAAUGUGGUUAGGAAUUAUGCUGGUUUAGUGAAGUGGUGGUUGUAGCCUCUGCUCCAAGAUCCUUGACUUCACUAGUCUUAGGUAGUUGGCUAGGUUUCUAGUGUAAGACAUAGUUUCCCUCUUUUCGAGUGGGUGUUAAGUCAAAUUAGAGAACUGUUAGCUGCUGUCAAUGUAUCAGCACCAUUACUGCACCCUUAGGGUUAUCAUUCCAUGUUGACAUUGUUUCAGUUCACAGCCAUCAUAGCUGGGUAGGGCUGUUGAUUGCUUCCUGCCUAUGGAACUUUCAUGGUGCCUUCUAGUAGCAUGAAAAUUAGAUUCCGGGAGUUGGCAUUCUUGUCAGUUCCAGCUCAGGAGCCUCUGCGUCUGAACUGCAUGAUGUCUUCAGCAAUAAAGACUUCCCUUACACGUCUGAGGGAUAAUCAAGGACAACAGUAAUCAUCUCAAAAUCUUAGAAAUGUCUGUGACAGCUGUACUAACCAAAAACUCAAAAGAGGGCUUCCCAUGCCUGGUAUCAAGGGUUUUGUUAGACGAUCUUUGACACUUAGAACACUGCCAAGCCAAAUGAGAAAAUCUCAAUUAAACUACAUUUGUAAAUUUACACAUAGAGUUACCCGUUAUUAAAGAAACAUCAUCUUGCAACAAACUGAGACUACUAGAGAAAACCAUAACCCAACAAAAUGCAUGGUUGGCUGCCAAUUCCCAAUGGAUACAUCUAUAGCUACAUCUGAAGCUCAGGAAGCACUGCAGAAGAGGAGGUGUCAAGGUGGUGAGAGAUGGGAGACCAGGGAGUCUGCUGGGAGAUUGCUUCUCACAGGACUGUCAGAAGUAGCACCCAUUAAGUCUCACCCACAUAAACUACACAGGGACAACAAUACACAUGACAAGGUGAAUGGGGUAAAAACUACAAGGCCUCAACUCUACAAAAAGAAAUACAAGAAACUAAGGGAUGUUAAGAGAAUUAAUCUUCCCCAGGGAAGAUCAUACAAAUUAGCUAUUUAAAAUCAAAUGGUCAUCUUCAAAAAUAUGCAUGAGUAACAUUAUAAAGACUGAGCAGGUUAUGUUUAGGAAUAUAUAUACAUACAUAUAUAAAUACAUAUAUGCAUGUGAUGAUAAUUAAUGAAAAAGGAAGCCAUGAGUUUGAAAGAGCAUGGUUAGGUCUUUGGGUGUUUGGAAGGUGGAAAAUGAAGGGGGGCGAUGACAUAAUAUCAAAAGUAAAAGAAAUAAUAAAAAAGGAAAAGUCCCUACCCUUAGCAUCCGUGGAACUAUUAGUAUGCCAAGGUGUGUUGUAAAUUCUAAAGGAAACCAUCAUAGCCUUUCUACAAUAUUAUUCCUCCUGCCUAGUCUCUUUAGAUUAUAAAGGCGGUGUUCUGUAGAAUACAUACACUCUGGCAAAAGUAUGAUCUGACCUAUGAUUUAUAAGACUAAAUUCACCUAUUGUGAUACUCAAAUUUUAAAUUAACAUAAUAUAUAAUGCUUACAAUACAAUAUAGUGAAAACACAGGUGAGAAACCAUACCUUUGAUAGUGUGUGAAGUGAUACAGAGAAGAAAAGAGACAUACUUCAAUGAAUAGCCUAUGAUAGACUAUAUUCAAAUAAUAUGCAUCUCAUAUCUUUUCUUUUUGACCUCAAGGAUUAUCAAAAUGGAAGUUUGAAUUGCAUUGAAAUAAAAGAUAGACUUGUCAUGCAGAGAAAUAACAUUGAAUAGAAUCAGAAGGCAAAAUAAUUGCUCUUUCAUCAGCGAAACCAGGGUCAUGAUACAAAAGAAAGACAAAUCAUUUCAUUUCAUUUAAAGCAGCAAAAUUUCCGUAUAAGAUUUUAGGGAUGAUGAUUGCAAAGGUAUUUAAUGGAAGACCGUGACCUCUAGCAUUUCAGUCCCAUUUUACCUUAGACGAGCCCUUUCUGUUUUAAUCCAUUCUUAUUUUAGUAGCUGCAUAGGGAAUAGAGAGAAUCCUUUCUGAAAUUUGAUUGCACGGUAUUGCCAUCACAGCAUGCUUGUCAUCUUUCAUGGGGAGAACAGGUCAUUCACACUUUGUUAAAUCCUUAGAAACACAGAGAAAUUCAGCAUAGUACUAAGGUGGUACUAUCCAUUACAAGAUAGAACUAGACUCUGCACAGCAAAAUUAAAUUGCCUGUCAUCUUUUCACAUGCUGAGCUAGUCUCAGACUUUCCCUUACUGUUGGAAGGAUUGUAUGUUUAGUACUAUUCUUUAAAAUGAAAAUUAUUUUAAAGUAAUUACAAAAACACUGCAGAAAUUUAUGAGAUGUGUCUGCUUCAUUUUCAAGGAUCAUAAUCAUAAUCAGUCCCAUCUUAAUCCACAAAUCUUUCCUGAAAACAGAUAAACCAAAAUCAGUUCAACUUCUUCUUGGUGCUUGCUCUAUAGAUAAGUGUGUGGCAGUGUGUUUUCAUGGAGCAGACAAGCUUGCUACGUUAGAUUUCAGAACACCUAAAUUGAAGCUCCAGCUUAUCUACUAACUGGUUACAUUGCCUGCCCAAUUAAUGUAGCCUUUUUGACCUGUAUCCUCUUCUAUUAAAUGUGGAUUGUAACUCUGGUCCUAUAUGCCUCACAGGAUUGUGAAAUAGUAGCUAUAAAAACUUCCUUUGAAACUGUCUAAAGUUCUUUGGUGAUGAGAGGAUAUACAGAGCCUGUUGUAAAAGAAAACAUUGAAUUUCCUUCAAGGGAUUAGAUAAAACCUAAAUAAUGAUGCUACCAUUGGCAACUUCAAUCAUCUGUAGGCAUUUAUAAGAGAAGUCAAAAUAGGAAAUGCAUAUACUACCUGAAUAAUGCCUUAAAACAAUAAAUAACCAAUAUUAGCUAAUUAUCUCCAUGUCUCCAAAUUAUUGACAAUUAUUACUAGUAAUAGCAACAUAUUGGUCUAGAGAUGAUCAAAUGUGAAAGACCAAUGUUCAGCAACUCAAUAGUUAAGUUAGAAUAAAAGUUUUUGGACUCAAAAUGACUGCAAAUUUGGGUGCAAUCACUAAAAUUAUGUGCCAUUUUCAUUGGACUAAUAGGUGCCCUGACUGCUACUAAACGUAGUUUGGGGUAUGUUCAAAUGUAUCCAGGAGACAUUGAUAUCUGAAUUAGUUAAUGGGGAGACAACUGCUGUCACCUGUAGAGGUAGACAUCACCCAAUUCACCAAGGGCCAAAACAGCCCCAAAAGGUGGUCUUUGCUCUUGAACUGAGGCACCAAUCUUGUUCUGCCUUAAGGUUUCAACUGAGUACUCCUGGUUCUUGGGACUUCAGACCUAGUCUGGGACUUACACCAUUGCAGUCAUGGUGUACAGGCCUUCAGUUUUGAGUUGCAGCUAAAUUAUUGGUUUCCAUCCUGUAAAAGACUUCCCUGAAUAGUCAUAUGGAUCCAUCCUUCUACGAAAUCAUUUCUAUUAAUCUACACAUUUGAGAGGAAUGGUGUGUGUGUGUGUGUGUGUGUGUGUGCGCACACGCACACAUGAGCACGUGUGUGCGUGUGUGUUGAGUGUCUUCCUCUCUUGUUGCCCAUCUUAUUGAGAGAUGAUCACUCUCUGAAAUGAAUCAGCAUGACUCUCUGACAAGCAAACCCCAGGGAGCCCCAUCUCCCCAGCACUAGUAUUAUGGAUACGCACCACUACAUCCAGUUUUACGUCUAUACAUUUUAAUCUACACCUAGAUCUAUAAGGCAGAUCCCAGUGCUUGUAAUUCUGUGAAGAAACAUGGCUAACACAACCCCGAAUACUAUUUUUUCCUGACUGGAUCUUGUUUUAGUCAUCUUGCUCUUUUGACAGGAAUAGAUCCUUAUCACUAAUACCAUCUAUCCUCCUUAAAUACUAAUCUUACAUAAGAGAUAUUAUUCAUUUCUCACAGUUAGGUACCGACCUGAGGAUGUUGUCUUUUCUUACUCUGUGUUUUGUUAGAUUGCCACUGUCGUCCUUAGCCUUCCGCAGUUAAGCUGCUUCAUAGAGCUGCACACGUUACCUCCUGAGCCACUCACCCUUUGCCACAUUCACAGCCAGCUCUCUGUCAUGGAGGGCGCUUUCUAUAAGCUGUCUUGAAUUUAAUGGUCAUCUGUUCUUCGGCAGCUGGCACAUAUGCAGUGAAUCUAGCAUGUUGGUUCUUUACAUAAGGAUACAGUAGAAAGAGGAGAAUCAUUUCACAUUUUCUCCAUUUUUUUUCAAGAUAUACAGAAUUCUACUCGAGAGUGAAUAUACUUGAGAAUGAGGAUAUAAAUAAAUCUGCAAUGGAGACAUAGAUGCAAAUAUAGUCACAAGGUUAUUCCUGUUGAGCAUGUUAUGGUCACAUUUGAUAGGAGAGUGAGUGGCAGCUAUUGGCAGCGCUAAUGUCACCACCACUAGUCCCAAUCUGUCACACAACUGAAAAGCAAUAGUAAUAUUGUACAUGAGUACUUGGUCAUAUUUUUUUAGGUUUUUCUUUUCAAUUGUGUGUGUACAUUUGUGUACGUGUGUGUGUGUGUGUGUGUACAUGUUUGUGUGUGACUAUGAAGGUCAGAAGAAAGUGUCAGAUCCAUAGGAUCUAGAGUUAGAGACAGUUUUGAACUGGAAAACAUGGGUGUUGGAACUGAACUCCAAUACUCUGAAAAAGUACGGAUUCUUAAUUACUAAGACAUCUCUUUACCCCUAAGAUGUUUUCUUAUCCUUCAUGAAGAAUGCAAAAAGAUACUCAUUAAAAGAUCUUACUAGAUUUAAUGAUAAUAGUAUAAGGUAACAAAAUUAUUUUUUAAAGUGUGCUUACUGUGCAAAACGAGCUCCAAAACUUGGUUCUCUGGAUUUCUGAUCCUCUAUGACACUCCCACAGUUCGUUCUACUGUAAGUGUUAAUUCUGAAGAUCCCUGUUGAUACAGAAUUAGCUAUGUCAAUGACCUUCAGCUUUGACCAAAGCUAAGAUAGUCUUUUGCUUUGAGCAGUAGUAGGAAGGUGUCUGGAGCAUGAUACAUGGAGGGUGAAUGUAACUCCACCUGCCCUUGAAGACAAGGAACAAUUAGAAAAGCCACCAGGAUGCCCCUCAGGGCCAGGGCCAUGCCAACUCCAUGAACCCCAUCAGAAGAUGAACAGAUCGAUCUUUGGGCCUCUAGGUACCUCUCAUAUAAAAGAGUGGAGGGCUUUUUUCCCCUAAAAUAUAACCAUUGAUGUAUUAAAAGCUCAGUGAGUUUAGUCACUUUUUAUCUUUCCCUUUAAAUCUGAAUGAUUGUACUGGGCUUUUAAGGUCUGUGCCAACUAACUAGGGCAUUUUAGUAAUCUAUUUUUAAUAUGUACCAACUUCUGUUCUUUUUAGUUCUGCCUUAAGACAUACUUUUAUCUUCACUGGUAUGCAGAGAUCAUCAAAAAAUAUAAGUUCUCUAUUACAUGACAACACAUAAUGAGUCUUAAUGAAGCCGGGGAACAGCUGUUUAAAACUCCCGUUGAAUAGCUUCCUAAGCAACAUUCACUUAUGAUAGCCUUUCUGCAGCAACAUUGCCUGAGUCUCAGAACUCACCAUACAUAUAAUGAGAAGGGUGAGCAUGAGAUUUUCCUCUGGUUUCAUUAGAUAUUUUCUUCUAAUCAGAAUGCUAAUAUACCAUUAUGAAUUAGUACAUUCUGAGCCAUCAGCUCAGUGUCUUUCACCUUUUAAUUAUAUUUCUUCAUAGAGCAGAAAAGAGAGUAAAUGUUACUAUGCAAAUUUUUAGAAGAGUUCAUGUCCUGGAUGAAAAUGAGAAGGGGAGAGAGAACAUAGAAUAAACUUAUUUUUUUAAUUAUAUUGGAAACAUGUUGUAACUGCAAAAUGUGGGAAAUUAAACUAAGCCUAGAAGAUUUCAAGGGAGAUGUGCAAUCUGAAAUUUAAAGAAUUUUAGCUUCACUAUGUAGGUUAAUAUGUGUGAAGAACAACUAAAACACACUCCGAUAUGAACUUAAUCUCAUCCUUUAUUCAUUUGCACUUUCAAAUAGACUUCUAUAACUUGCUUAAUUUUUCACUCUACAUGUCAAGAGCCUAAAAUGAAAAAUUAAUAGUUGUAAUAGUUUCACAAUCUCAUUAAUCCACAUGGUUCUCAUUACUUCAGGAAUCCAAGGUUUUUAUAGAUGUAAUUUUUUUUACUUCCCACUCUGAUUCAUUUUCUACCAGUUACUUCUCUAGGUGAAGCCCUACUUCCUGUCUCUGGUAGGUAGAAUGUAAAUGGUCCACUAAGAAAUGUGCUUCUACUUAGCAUAGAGCGUUUCACAGAGUAGACACUGGUGAUUUUCUAAAUAACUGAAAAAGUAUCUUUAUCCACAAUCUUUAGGAAACUUAACUCCUUCACAUAAUUUUGAAGGUAUCCUUAUGGUUGCUUCCAUCAUUAUGUGGUGUUUAGUUAGCCAAGCAGAGAGGACUCCAGUGGAUUCUCCUUGGAGGGCAAUCAAAGUACACUGUGUGCUGGUUAGAUAUUUUUGAGACUGUCUCAUGAUAAAUUACUGUUUUUCCCAGUGAUGACAUGUUGUAUUUCUACCAUUUUUACUAUUUCAUUUCACUACAUUUCUAAGAGUUUUCUGGCAGCAUAUUCCAAGAUAAAGGGCUAUUCAUGUUCAUUAAAAGUAGGCAUUUUGUACUUGAGCAUAACAAAUAGCAUGAAUGUUUUCAUCUUCUCUUUUGAACAACAAUAUAAAUAUAGAUAGAAUAAGGAAUGGAUGUCCAGUAUCUACCUUUGUGGGACUAGAGGACAUCUGUGAGUCAAGUCUUCUGUAAAUGUAAAUCAAGUAGUAUCUGAAUAAAAUUGGAAAAAGAGAAUAGAGAAAGUGAAAACUCAGAGCAGGAGGAGUAAACAGAACCAUGCCACAGUUAUAGGCUUCAGGAAAAGGAUUAGAGCCCAAUUCUCCAAAACAGGAACAGAACUUCUGAGUAAAAUGAACAAUCUCCCUUUGCAGAAAUGGCACAUGUCUUGUAGCAAGACAUUUUCCUGAGCAAAUUUAACAUAAAAAGCAAUCUCUCUCUAUCUCUCUCUCUUUCUCUCUCUCUCUCUCUCCAUGUCCCCCUCCUCUAA